CGGACGGGUGAGUAACGCGUGGGAAUCUGCCUACUAGCGGGGGAUAGCCCGGAGAAAUCCGGAUUAAUACCGCAUAAGCCCUACGGGGGAAAGCUGGGGAUCUUCGGACCUGGCACUAGUAGAUGAGCCCGCGUUAGAUUAGCUUGUUGGUGGGGUAAUGGCCUACCAAGGCAACGAUCUAUAGCUGGUCUGAGAGGACGAUCAGCCACACUGGGACUGAGACACGGCCCAG
RNAcentral lists this ribosomal RNA (232 nucleotides) under uncultured bacterium. RNAcentral's name for it is "partial 16S ribosomal RNA". It matches the Rfam family "Bacterial small subunit ribosomal RNA", at positions 99 to 334 of the family's 1533-position model. The record is from RNAcentral.